ACCCAGCUGGCUCACUCAGUAGAGCAUGAGACUCCUGAUCUCAGAGUCAUGAGUUCAAGCCCCAGGUUGGACA
RNAcentral lists this transfer RNA (73 nucleotides) under Mustela putorius furo (domestic ferret). It matches the Rfam family "tRNA". From Rfam's summary of the family: Transfer RNA (tRNA) molecules are approximately 80 nucleotides in length. Their secondary structure includes four short double-helical elements and three loops (D, anti-codon, and T loops). Further hydrogen bonds mediate the characteristic L-shaped molecular structure. tRNAs have two regions of fundamental functional importance: the anti-codon, which is responsible for specific mRNA codon recognition, and the 3' end, to which the tRNAs corresponding amino acid is attached (by aminoacyl-tRNA synthetases). tRNAs cope with the degeneracy of the genetic code in two manners: having more than one tRNA (with a specific anti-codon) for a particular amino acid; and 'wobble' base-pairing, i.e. permitting non-standard base-pairing at the 3rd anti-codon position. Lineage: Eukaryota; Metazoa; Chordata; Mammalia; Carnivora; Mustelidae. The record is from Rfam by way of RNAcentral.